RNAcentral lists this ribosomal RNA (858 nucleotides) under uncultured Neocallimastigales. RNAcentral describes it as "partial large subunit ribosomal RNA". It matches the Rfam family "Eukaryotic large subunit ribosomal RNA", at positions 1 to 635 of the family's 3401-position model. The record is from RNAcentral. Lineage: Eukaryota; Fungi; Neocallimastigomycota; Neocallimastigomycetes; Neocallimastigales.
UAGAUGCGAGAGUAGAGCAUAUCAAUAAGCGGAGGAAAAGGAGUAUACCUACGCUUAGGAUGUUGACGAGACUGUCGAUCUCAUCUAUACAUGACUCUGUGCAUAUCAAUAAGCGGAGGAAAAGAAACUAACAAGGAUUCCCCUAGUAACGGCGAGUGAAGCGGGAAGAGCUCAAAUUUGAAAUCUUAAAGGGUUUCCCUUUACGAAUUGUAGUUUAAAGAAGUGUUUUCUGUUGAGGUUUUGGUAAAAGUUCUUUGGAAUAGGACAUCAUAGAGGGUGAGAAUCCCGUAUUUGGCCUUUACUUUCAACUUUGUGAUACACUUUCAAAGAGUCGGAUUGUUUGGGAAUGCAGUCCAAAAUGGGUGGUAAAUUUCAUCUAAAGCUAAAUAUUGGCGAGAGACCGAUAGCGAACAAGUACCGUGAGGGAAAGAUGAAAAGAACUUUGAAAAGAGAGUUAAACAGUACGUGAAAUUGUCAAAAGGGAAGCGUUUGACACCAGUGUUGUUUUUCUGAAAAUCAAUUAAAGAACUGUUUAUGCUAAGUUGUUUAGACUUUAUCAGCUAACUGUUUAGUUUUGAGCUUUUCUUUAAUGCACUUUUCAGUUAACAAGCCAACAUCAAUUUCUUUUGCUGUAAAAAAGCUUGAGGAAGGUGGCUUGAGAUUCGUCUUAAGUGUUUAUAGCCUCUUGCCUAUGCAGUCGGAGAGAUUGAGGUCUGCAGCGUAGAUCCUUCGGGGCUAAGUGCAUUUGUGCUAAGUUAUAGCAUUUUAUAGACAACUUGUUGACUAUGACUUGUCUUGUAGCUUACUCGCUUAUGUUAUUUUACCUACGCUUAGGAUGUUGAAGAUGUAGCACAUCAU